This 544-nucleotide ribosomal RNA is filed under the name Aschersonia andropogonis. Its description in RNAcentral is "SSU rRNA". It matches the Rfam family "Bacterial small subunit ribosomal RNA", at positions 233 to 787 of the family's 1533-position model. Lineage: Eukaryota; Fungi; Ascomycota; Sordariomycetes; Hypocreales; Clavicipitaceae. The record is from RNAcentral.
UCUUCGAGAUAGGUAGUAGUUAAGGUGAUGGCUUAACUAGCCAAAAACUCUCGUAGUCGAAGCUGAAAGGUUGAUCGACCACAUUGGGUCUGAAAAAACCCCAAUGCAAGUUAGUACAGCAGUGAGGAAUCUUGGUCAAUGGCCUAACGGCUGAACUGGCAACUUGGAGAAGUGGCAAGUCUUAUUUUGAUUAUAUUACAAUAUAUAAUCUAUAAGAUUGUAUUAAAAUUGAAUAAAGCUUUGUUUAUAUAUUGAUAAUGACAGUAUAUAUAUCGUGUCUUGACUAAUUACGUGCCAGCAGUCGCGGUAAUACGUAAGAGACUAGUGUUAUUCAUCUUGAUUAGGUUUAAAGGGUACCUAGACGGUCAAUAUAUCUUCUAAAAUGUUAGUACUUGACUAGAGUUUGAUAUAAGAGGGCAGUACUUGAGGAGGAGAGAUGAAAUUCUAUUAUACCAAAGGGACUCGGUAAAGGCGAAGGCAGCCCUCUAUGUAAAAACUGACGUUGAAGGACGAAGGCACAGAGCACAAACAGGAUUAGAUACCC